RNA transcript from Mustela lutreola (European mink), 2111 nucleotides. It is a transcript of the gene named speedy/RINGO cell cycle regulator family member A, with no coding region annotated. The record is from RefSeq and is a predicted model, not a curated record. The transcript is spliced from 8 exons. Lineage: Eukaryota; Metazoa; Chordata; Mammalia; Carnivora; Mustelidae.
UUGGCGGGAGGUCUCCGAGCGGGUAGUGGCCGCUGUGGAGCGAGUGGCGAGCAACCGCCUGAGGCCUCAUAGCGUCCGGGGGAGGCUGUCCCGCGGCCCGGCGCCCUCUCCGCAGCCCCAGGCUUUCUCAGGAACCUUGGGAAACCAAAAUGAGACAUAAUCAACUGUGUUGUGAGACACCACCUACUGUCACUGUUCAUGUAAAAUCAGGGUCAAAUAGAUCACAUCAGCCUAAAAAACCCAUUAAUCUGAAGCGUCCUAUUUUUAAAGAUAAUUGGCCAGCAUCUGAAAAAAAUGCACAUAAUAGCAACAAGUCUAAACGCCCCAAAGGACCCUGUCUCGUUAUACAGCGUCAGGAAAUGACUGCUUUCUUUAAGUUAUUUGAUGAUGAUUUAAUUCAAGAUUUCUUGUGGAUGGACUGCUGCUGUAAAAUUGCAGACAAGUAUCUUUUGGCUAUGACCUUUGUUUAUUUCAAGAGAGCUAAAUUUACUAUAAAUGAGCAUACCAGGAUAAAUUUCUUUAUUGCUCUGUAUCUGGCUAAUACAGUUGAAGAAGAUGAAGAAGAAUCCAAAUAUGAAAUUUUUCCAUGGGCUUUAGGGAAAAACUGGAGAAAAUUGUUCCCUAAUUUCUUAAAGUUAAGGGACCAACUCUGGGAUAGAAUUGACUAUAGGGCUAUUGUAAGCAGGCGAUGCUGUGAGGAGGUUAUGGCUAUUGCUCCAACCCAUUAUAUAUGGCAACGGGAACGCUCUGUGCAUCACAGUGGAGCUGUUAGAAACUACAACAGAGAUGAAGUUCAACUGCCCAGGGGACCUAGUGCCACACCAGUAGAUUGUUCACUCUGUGGUAAAAAAGGAAGAUAUGUUAGACUGGGAUUGUCUUCAUCAUCUUCAUCCAGUGAUACAGUAGAGGUGAUGGAGAAACAUUCUCAGGAAUCACACAAUUCCUUCUCAAUGGACAUAGUAGUUGAUCCUUCUCGAGCUUAUAGCUAUUCUCAAGAUAAGGAGACUGAGGCUUAGAGAGGUUAAAUCAUUUGCCCAAAGUGGUGGAGCGACAAUUGAACCCAGGUCUGUCUAACUCUAGACUACAGCCUGAAUUCCUUUUAUGCUCUACUGCCCCCUUUGAUGAAAUCCUUUGAUGAAAUCUUUUCACCUUUGGUGGUGAAAAUAAGCUGCCACAGAAGUCUUUUAGUAGACUACUAAGAACUAAGGAGAUGGUGAAAGUACUAAGAACCAAGUUCCUGAUGAAAGAUUGUAUGGAGUGAAUUGGGAGAAAAUUCUAGGCUCAAUUUGAACAGAUAUUUAUAGAAAGCAGAACACGAGUAGUUAUGGUUUACUCAGACUAGUGCCUGUAGAUAUCAAGAGUAGUAACACUAUAUUUUAGGCUUUGUAUCUCAACAGGAAAGCACAGUGCACCCGGGGAAGAAAGGGCUCUGCCAGUCAGUUUGCUUUGAAAAAAAGAGCAUGACUUUGAGGGACUGUGGAUGAGAAGUGGAACACUUAAGGGAGUUAUAAAUGGAAUGUGCUUUUAUCCUAUCCCUGGUUUAGGAUAUAUACAGAUCCUGUACAGGAAGGAACAAGUAUUUACUCAAUCUUCUUUUGUUCAGAGUAUUAAAGUUAAAUGUAAAACUUUUGUUUUAGGAUGACAGAGGGUAGACAAAAUAGAGAAAAAUAAUUGAUCGUACAUACCCUUGACCAGUAAACAUGUACAUUCAUUUUCCCUCAGUAGGCAUAAUUCAAAGUGAGCUUUUUGGGGGUGUGGGGGCAUUAAGGGUAACACAAUCUCAUCAGGAGCAGUGGUCAGCCUCUUAUUGCCUCAGCAAAUAUUCCCAGUAGUGACCUUUGCUAGCAAAAUUUUCUUCCUUCAGUCUAUAUGAGGUGGUUGGAAUCACCUAAUGGUUUGCAGUUGCAGAAAAUUCAAUUCAUCAUUCUACAAGAGACACAAAGAGCCGAUGCGCUACUUCAGGCUUUUGUGCUAAAAUAUCAAUGCUUCUGUCUUCAGACACAAGCAAGCAACUUCUUGCUUUUCAGCCAAUGACCAUCAAUCAAAGAAAGAAAAGAAAACUAAUUUUAUGAAGAAAGACAAAUCAAUGGAGUGGUUUACAGGAAGUGAAG